This 396-nucleotide ribosomal RNA is filed under the name uncultured bacterium. RNAcentral describes it as "partial 16S ribosomal RNA". It matches the Rfam family "Bacterial small subunit ribosomal RNA", at positions 523 to 918 of the family's 1533-position model. The record is from RNAcentral.
AUACGUAGGGGGCAAGCGUUAUCCGGAAUUACUGGGCGUAAAGGGUGCGUAGGCGGUUUAUCAAGUCAGGGGUGAAAGGCUACGGCUCAACCGUAGUGAGCCUCUGAAACUGGUGAACUUGAGUGUAGGAGAGGAAAGUGGAAUUCCCAGUGUAGCGGUGAAAUGCGUAGAUAUUGGGAGGAACACCAGUGGCGAAGGCGGGUUUCUGGAUUUGAACUGACUCUGAGGCAUAAAAGCGUGGGUAGCAAACAGGAUUAGAUACCCUGGUGGUCCACGCCGUAAACGAUGGGUACUAGGUGUAGGAGGUAUCGACCCCUUCUGGGCCGUCGUUAACACAAUAAGUGCCCCGCCUGGGGAGUACGGUCGCAAGACUAAAACUUAAAGGAAUUGACGGGG